GGGGCCGUAGUCCAGCCUGGUAGGAUGCCUGGCUCGGGCCCAGGUGGUCCCGGGUUCAAAUCCCGGCGGCCCCACCA
This 77-nucleotide transfer RNA is filed under the name Thermofilum pendens. RNAcentral describes it as "tRNA-Pro". It matches the Rfam family "tRNA". Rfam says of the family: Transfer RNA (tRNA) molecules are approximately 80 nucleotides in length. Lineage: Archaea; Thermoproteati; Thermoproteota; Thermoprotei; Thermofilales; Thermofilaceae. The record is from RNAcentral. RNAcentral also lists the same sequence under 1 other name.